GACGAACGCUGGCGGCGUGCUUAACACAUGCAAGUCGAGCGGUAAGGCCCUUUCGGGGUACACGAGCGGCGAACGGGUGAGUAACACGUGGGUGACCUGCCUUUAGCUCUGGGAUAAGCCUGGGAAACUGGGUCGUAAUACCGGAUAUGACUCCGCGGUGCAUGCUGUGGGGUGAAAGCCGUUGUGCGGCUGGAGAUGGGCCCGCGGCCUAUCAGCUUGUGUGGGUGAGUGGCCUACCAAGGCGACGACGGGUAGCCGGCCUGAGAGGGCGACCGGCCGACACUGGGACUGAGACACGGCCCGAGACUCCUACGGGAGGCCAGCAGUGGGGGAAUCUUGCGCAAUGGGUCGAAAAGCCUGGACGCCAGCGACGCCGCGUGAGGGAUGACGGCCU
RNAcentral lists this ribosomal RNA (394 nucleotides) under uncultured bacterium. RNAcentral describes it as "bacterial SSU rRNA". It matches the Rfam family "Bacterial small subunit ribosomal RNA", at positions 28 to 417 of the family's 1533-position model. The record is from RNAcentral.